GACGAACGUUGGCGGCGUGCCUAACACAUGCAAGUCGAGCGGAGACAUUGGCUUCGGUCAAUGUUUUAGCGGCGGACGGGUGAGUAACGCGUGAGCAACCUUUCUCUCAGUGGGGAAUAACACAGGGAAACUUGUACUAAUACCGCAUGAGACCACAUUGUCGCAUGGCAGAGGGGUCAAAGAUUUAUCGCUGAGAGGUGGGCUCGCGUCUGAUUAGAUAGUUGGUGGGGUAACGGCCUACCAAGUCGACGAUCAGUAGCCGACCUGAGAGGGUGAUCGGCCACAUUGGGACUGAGACACGGCCCAAACUCCUACGGGAGGCAGCAGUGGGGAAUAUUGGGCAAUGGGGGAAACCCUGACCCAGCAACGCCGCGUGGAGGAAGAAGGUUUUCGGAUCGUAAACUCCUGUCCUCAGGGAAGAGCAGAAGACGGUACCUGAGGAGGAAGCCCCGGCUAACUACGUG
This 464-nucleotide ribosomal RNA is filed under the name uncultured bacterium. RNAcentral's name for it is "bacterial SSU rRNA". It matches the Rfam family "Bacterial small subunit ribosomal RNA", at positions 28 to 507 of the family's 1533-position model. The record is from RNAcentral.